GAUGAGCCUGCGUCCGAUUAUUUAGUCCUUGUCGGUGGGGUAACGGCCUACCAAGGGUACGAUCGGUAGCUGGUCUGAGAGGACGAUCAGCCACACUGGAACUGAGACACGGUCCAGACUCCUACGGGAGGCAGCAGUGGGGAAUAUUGCGCAAUGGGCGAAAGCCUGACGCAGCCAACCCGCGUGUGUGAUGAAGGCCUUCGGGUCGUAAAGCACUGUCGUAGGGGAAGAAUCAAUGACGGUACCCUACAAGAAAGCACCGGCUAACCCCGUGCCAGCAGCCGCGGUAAUACGGGGGGUGCAAGCGUUGCUCGGAAUCACUGGGCGUAAAGCGUCCGCAGGUGGGUGUGUGUGUCGGAUGUGAAAGCCCAGGGCUCAACCCUGGAACUGCAUUCGAAACUGCACAUCUUGAGUACGGGAGAGGGAAGCAGAAUUCCUGGUGUAGAGGUGAAAUUCGUAGAUAUCAGGACGAAUACCUGUGGGCGAGAGCGGCUUCCUGGUCCGAUACUGACACUCAUGGACGAAAGCGCGGGGAGCAAACAGGAUUAGAU
This 551-nucleotide ribosomal RNA is filed under the name uncultured bacterium. RNAcentral's name for it is "bacterial SSU rRNA". It matches the Rfam family "Bacterial small subunit ribosomal RNA", at positions 224 to 783 of the family's 1533-position model. The record is from RNAcentral.